CCCCGGAGGGGCGGCUCCUUGGCCAGGGAAGGAGGCGGGAUCUGCUUGCCAGCGGGCGUCUCCGCUUAGCGCUCUCUCCAGAAACCGCUGGGCAGUCUCCUGGGUGAGCGCCAGACGCCUGGGGUCCGUUUGCCGCCUGCUGAGACUAGACAAGGACCCCGGGAGGGCGACGUUGGGGGAGAGGGCUACGGAUGGAGGUCCCGCCGCGCUUGGGCCGGGUCCGGAGCCACCAGGACGCACAGCGGGCACAGAGCUCAACACUUUAUUUGCUCCCUGUCAUUCAAUGCUAAUAAUACCAAUAUUCAGUGAAAAAUACUGGAGCUUAAAGGUCAGAUCACUUGUCCAGAGUCACAGAACAGAAGCCCAAGUAAUCUGGUAUAACAGCCAGGCUUUUUUUCUACUACAACAUUCUUCAUCCUGUAUGACAUUUUGAAAUCUGGAAUUAGAAGAGUGGAGUUCAUGUGUCGCCUGAAAUGAUCCUCAUGCCAUAAAGGUUUCCCUCAUUCUCAGUCAGGUGGUUGAGUUAUCCAAGCCUUCAUAACCAGAGGGUCUGAGCACUUGUUGGACUGUGCUUACUGCAGCUUCUCAUUUACAAUUACCACUGCACCUGAGAGUACCAAGAGAUUCCUGAGCCAGAGAUUACGAUUUCCAACUUCCAGCUCCUCAAGGUUUCAAUAUCAGGAUGAUGCCAGCCUCAUAAAAUGAGUUAGGGAGGAGUCUGAGAGGAGCUAUUAGAGCUUUACAGGCUUUUGUAUCAUAUGUAGAAAGCUGAAACUGGAUCCCUU
RNAcentral lists this long non-coding RNA (785 nucleotides) under Homo sapiens (human). Its description in RNAcentral is "HSALNT0330085". The record is from RNAcentral. Lineage: Eukaryota; Metazoa; Chordata; Mammalia; Primates; Hominidae.